Molecule: long non-coding RNA, 1845 nt
Filed under: Homo sapiens (human)
Lineage: Eukaryota; Metazoa; Chordata; Mammalia; Primates; Hominidae
Description: non-protein coding CALML3-AS1:15
Source: RNAcentral
UCUGCUCUUCGAAACCCUUGGUUUCUGCAGAAGUCCUUCGAGAGGUUCGUGGGGGCAAAGGAAGGUGAGGGGCAGGAGCCCAGGCCACCCGGCCUCCUUCCUUUCCCCACGUCUGCUUUCAACUGUUUCAUAUGCAUCAUGCAAAUCGCAGCUGUCAUGGCUCAGGUCCUCAUGUGUACAAUGGGCGCCAUGGCAGCGUCCAGGUCAGAGGGUGACCAGAGUGACAUGAAUUAAGACACGAGAGGACUCCAAAGAGUGGUCAGGCCUCUCACGUCAUAAGAUCUCCAUAAAUGGUCACUAUUAUUUUGUGUUAUUAGGGGUACGCUUUUCAUUUGUAAGAUGACUUCCAUGGGGCCCCACGCCUCAUGACCCCGUCUCACCCCCUGCAAAUACCAUCCCAUGGAGAGGCAGGACUUGAGCCUAUGAAUUUGAGGGGUACACGGUUCAGUCCAAACCUUUUGGUGUUUCUGUGUAUCCAUUUCUGCAUGUGUAAAAUGAGGAGAACAGACAGCUUCCGACCUCAUCUCCAAAGGCGCACGGAGGAGGUGGAAAGGCCCUCGCCGGAGACUGAGCACUGCAGCCAGCGCAAGGCCGGAUUUGCUGCUUCCGCGCGGGGACGCCCUCGGAAAGGUGGCAGGUGCCCACGGCGAGGAAGGGGCGGGAGUGAGGGGUGCGUGGCCCGAGAGAACUCAGUGAAGAAGGCCAUUAGGGAGGAAAUAAGGGAAACGGGGUGUGCGAAGCUCUGAGCUUUUUCUGCCCGGUUUGGCUGAGGACACGCCACGGGUGAGCAUCUGCGCGAGGGGAGCUUGGUGGGUGAGGAAGGAAGAAGACACGAUAGAGAACUGGAAGCAAGAAGGGAGGAAACCAAAAGGAACGGGGAGGAGAAAGGGCUUCUCUGGAGCUGCUUGCUUUUCCCAGAUUCUCCUGCCAUUCCUGGCUCCAGGGAGUCCUGAAGGAACGAUGGUUAGGGCGGAGAAUCCUGCAGAGGAAAGGAGAGAAAGGACUAGAGGUCACACACGGCUUCUUGGAGGGGAGCGGGGAGCAGGGGCUCCGAGGCUGCGGGUCGCAGGCUCCAGGGCAGGAAGCUCUCCAUGGGAACCGUAGUAUGAAUUCCACCGAGGUGCGUCCCGGCACAGACCCGAAGGCAGCCACAUUUGUGGAAAUAAGAUUUGACGUGCAUUUCGGAUCCGCAGAGAAGGUGGACUCUGUUUUGCAGAAUGGACCAGCGGUGGGGGGUGGGGUGGGGGGCAGGAAAAGACUUUCUGGUAACCCAGGUUCCUGUCUCUGGGCUCCCCUCCAAGAAGCCUGCAAGGGCAGGGCACCCCUGUCCUUUUCUCCCCCUUCCUUCUCUGGGGCAGCCAUGCUCUCCUCCCAGGACGCAGCCCCACCCAGGGCACCCUGCAGCUAAGCUUGAUGCCUGGACCUGCUCUGGCCUGGAGGGGACACACAUCAAUCCCUGCAGAUGGGUUGGCUCCCACAGAACAGGUUUCCCUUGGAAAGAGCUCCUGAGAGGCGGGGAGCGGCCAACCCUCCCCUGGAACUACACUGAGGACCCUCCUGUCGAGGGGACUGAGCCUGUGGGGUCAGCAGGAGUGGAGCAUAGGCACUGGGCUGCUGUCGGGCCAGAGGGAGGAGGCGGCUCUCCCAGGCUCACUGCUCUGCUGAGUCAAAGCCAGUGCCCUUCCUGUCUCUGCCAGGCCCAUGUGUCCAAUGGCAAGUGCAGAGGAGAGCAAGUGCCGGGGGGAGAGCACACCGUCUGGCAAGCCCUGUCCUCCACAGACGGCCCUAUGGUCCUGCAUGGCACCUGCCUCCUUUUCUCUCUGACCACAAACCCACAUCUCUCUU